This is a long non-coding RNA of Bufo bufo (common toad), 1423 nucleotides long. RefSeq lists it as uncharacterized. The transcript is spliced from 2 exons. The record is from RefSeq and is a predicted model, not a curated record. Lineage: Eukaryota; Metazoa; Chordata; Amphibia; Anura; Bufonidae.
UAUGUGGUUGAGGUCAGAGUUCAGCAGGCGAAUCAAGUUCUGUAAUACCAAACUGUUCUGUAAGGUUAAUUUUAAUGUUUAUUUCCCUUUAUUACUUUUUAAUGUAGCGAACACAUAAACCCUUUUAUUCUGCGGUGCCUAGUACAGAUGACCGCAAGUCCGCAUUCCUAAGGGCUGGGUUCACUGUACAUGCGUACUGCACACUGGAGACCUUUUAGGUGCAAGCUAUAAAGGAUCUGUACAUGUAACAGAAAAUAAGCUUCAAAGAAGAGGUCUGUGUGAGAACUACUUUGUCUCUUCUAUCUACCAUCUUGGGUGCCGGCCAACGGUGACGAGCUUCCCCAAGAAUUGAUUUCAGGUUAAGUGAUUGUUUCUUUACUUUAAGCUGUAUGUGAUCUCUUAGUCACUUAGCCAUCAUUUAAGCAAAUUUAUUCCCGGUACCUUGGAAUUCACCAUAAAACAAUCUCACCCAACCAUGCCUUUUAUGGAUCUUAGUUUGUGGCUGUUAUGCUUUGGUUCCUAAACAUUUCCACUUUGCAAUAUCACCAUUCACAGUGGAUGGUGGAACAUCUCAGGGAAGAAAUGUCAUGAACUGACUCUUUGCAACCAUGCCAUCCUAUUACAGUAGCAAGCUGGAAUUCAGUGAGCUUUUUAGGACAACUCUUUAUUUUCCAAAUGUCUGUAAAGGCAGACUGCAAGGCUAGGGGCUGGAUUUUAUACACCUGUGGCAAUGGGACUGAAUGAAAAACUUCAAUGAGUAAGAGGUGUGCCCCAAUACCUUUGUCUACAGUAUAUGGUCAGUCAUCCUGAUGCAGUUUUGGAAGCAAAAAUCAGAAGUUGAUCAUAAAAGGAGAGAAAUUAUAUAGGAUAUAUAUACGACUUCUUUUUUCCAAUACUGCAUCAGAAAACCUGACUGUUACCAUAACCUUAUAUUGUACUUCUCCUUCCUGCUGGAUCCACUACUGGCUUUGACUCAAAGUGCAUUGAAAGCUGCAGUGAUGUUAAGCAUGUAAAACCUAAACCACAUCCUUACAAAUAUACACAUUAUUGAUUGGUAAUGCCCAUUAUUUUAUUUGUUGGAUAUACCAUUAAGCCAUGAGGAAUUGAAUACAGUAGACUAGAAACAAGAGUUGGCCUGAAUUUUCAAGUCAACAUUUAAUAUUAGCAGUUUUCAGGAGUGAACAUAGGAAAUAAUUUAAUAAGAAACACGCCAUCCUCCGCAGUGCGUGAAGGUUUACAUUCAGUGUAACAAUUCCAAAGAAAUUCCAGUAACACCUAUUGAUAUACGUUCAACAGGGAAUGCGGAUUGGACUGAAAAAUCAUUUGAUGCCAUCACAUUAGCUGCAAACAAUACAAUGGGCAUAGCAAAAAUAUCUUCUCACAAUGGAUGGUAGGUAGCAUGUCAAGAACAGCUUUAAAACUU